CCUACGGGCGGCAGCAGUAGGGAAUAUUGCUCAAUGGGGGAAACGCUGAAGCAGCCACGCCGCGUGGAGGAUGAAGGUUUUCGGAUUGUAAACUCCUUUUGUUAGAGAAGAUAAUGACGGUAUCUAACGAAUAAGCAACGGCUAACUCCGUGCCAGCAGCCGCGGUAAUACGGCGGGUGCAAGCGUUACUCGGAAUAACUGGGCGUAAAGAGCGCGUAGGCGGGAUAGCAAGUCAGAUGUGAAAUCCUAUGGGUUAACCAUAGAACUGCAUUUGAAACUGUUAUUCGAGAGUAUGGGAGAGGUAGGUGGAAUUCUUGGUGUAGGGGUAAAAUCCGUAGAUAUCAAGAAGAAUACUCAUUGCGAAGGCGACCUGCUAGAACAUAACUGACGCUGAUGCGCGAAAGCGUGGGGAGCAAACAGGAUUAGAUACCCGGGUAGUC
RNAcentral lists this ribosomal RNA (440 nucleotides) under uncultured bacterium. RNAcentral describes it as "partial 16S ribosomal RNA". It matches the Rfam family "Bacterial small subunit ribosomal RNA", at positions 338 to 795 of the family's 1533-position model. The record is from RNAcentral.